AGUAGAAUUGCUGGGUCGUAUGAUAAUAAUACUUUUAUCCUUUUGAGGAACUUCCAGACUAUUUUCUAUAGUGGCUCAAUCAACUUGCAUUCCCAUUAACAAC
This 103-nucleotide microRNA precursor is filed under the name Marmota monax (woodchuck). The record is from RNAcentral. Lineage: Eukaryota; Metazoa; Chordata; Mammalia; Rodentia; Sciuridae.